UGGUCAGUGCACUCAAGUAGAACGGC
RNAcentral lists this non-coding RNA (26 nucleotides) under Homo sapiens (human). Lineage: Eukaryota; Metazoa; Chordata; Mammalia; Primates; Hominidae. The record is from RNAcentral.